Drosophila yakuba is the source of this 10946-nucleotide long non-coding RNA. RefSeq lists it as uncharacterized. NCBI's taxonomy places the organism in Eukaryota, Metazoa, Arthropoda, Insecta, Diptera, Drosophilidae. The record is from RefSeq and is a predicted model, not a curated record. The transcript has 2 exons.
CACUCAAAAAUUUGCAAAUAAAUUAGACAAGCGAGUGGCAGUGAAAUUUCAAAUGCAAAACGAUGCAUGGCAAUGCGUGUGGGCGUUACAAAAACGAAAAAAAAACCUUGCAUCCCCCUAAAUCUGCUUUAUUUGCACCAUACCAUGACAAGAAGAAAAAUCCAAACCUAGCCAACAAACUGUCGGUUGUUCAUUUUCAUUUCGACAGUAUUUAGUUAUUCUGUAUUUAGUUAUCCCAUGCAUUUGCAACUAAAACCACAACAGCAAAAAGUUCACUGAAUUGGCUUGAGUUGCAAUAGCAGAUGCAGAAAGCAAUUUGCAGAAUAAUAUUUUCCUAUUUAUACACGUAUUUAUUAUCUGUCAAAAUUUAAGUUUUAUGGCUUAGAGCUGUUGAUUCUAGUGUCUUCUGCCAUCUAUGGUAUUAUUUACCCUUUUAUACGGCAAUAAAUCACGUGACGAGGUGGCCGAGAGGUUAAGGCGUUGGACUGCUAAUCCAAUGUGCUCUGCACGCGUGGGUUCGAAUCCCAUCCUCGUCGACGGUACUUUUUUGUUUAUUUAUUUUUCAAUUUUAUAAAUAUUACCAAGUACGCAAAUCCGAAAGCUAAAACAAUUGCACAUUUGCUGGUGUUUAUUUACUAAUUAAUGAUUCAAUAUUCCAUUGCAGAGCGGUGAGUUCAUGAAAUCAAUUGCAUUUUUUGAUCUCUGAAUAUAUCUUAGUCCUUUGGGCUGUCAUCAAUUAAUUAAUGUCGCUUUAACUGGGCAAAAAGCUAUUAAGUAAUCUGACCCAGAGGAUAUAAAUUUAGUUUGGUUCGCUGCUCUCUUGAUUUUAGUAGGCUUAUCGCUUAUUAAAUUAUGCAGAUAAGAGCCGCUUUUGGUAAUUUCAUUUUUUUUUUUUUUAGAAAAGCAAUAAGAAUAGUAAUAGUACAUUUUCGUUGAUGGUUUGAUUAAAUGUUCAUGCGUGCGGAGUUUUUAAGAACUUUUCCCAAACUUGCCAUAAGCGUUAAAUGGCCCUGCACUUUUGGAGAUAGCUGUGGUUUUAUUACCCUUAUUGGAUUACGACGUUAAUGCACUUAACGCUGCCUUUUUGCAUAAAUUUAAUAUUCGACGCAUUAUUAAUUGACUCACGCCGGAAAAUGGGGAAAAAGCCAACAGCUGUGGCCGCUGGCCUAGUAAAUUAUGAUUAAAAUCACCCUCACACUUACAUUAACCCACAUACAAGUGCGCCUUUGCAUGUGUACGUAUAGGUAUACAAUGUAUAAGUAUAUGCAAUUAAUGGUGAUGGUGUGUGGUUAGAAGGGGUUUAACGCAGCUCAGCCGCAACCUUAAUGCAGCUAAGAGGGUUUUCCCCACGGAAGUUAAUUUAAAUGGGAGACUGUGAAGAUUAGUUCCGUUGCAGACUUUUCCCAAUGGAAAUUCGUGGCUCUUUUGUACGGAUUUCUGAGAAGAAGUCUAAUUACGCACUUGCACCAGUUUCCCUUCAAUUGCUAGUGGUUAUGAACAACAUUUUGGCAUUGAAUUUAAUGCGAUUGUUAACUGAAAUUUUCCUCUCAGCAAAAAUAUAAAUCAUAUUAAUAUUAGAUUAAAGUAAAGUAAGUAAACUCAUUUCGGACUUAUUUCUGAGAUGAUUUAUUACAUGCCGUAUGUAUGUAUGUGAUAAUUUGCUUAUCACGUUUUCUUUUACUUUUGCGGAAUUUCACGUUAUAAAAAAUUCUUUAUAUAGUGAAGAUUAUUUUAUGGAAUUUAUUGCAUGUCAAGCUGCGUUUGGCUCGUCACAUAGUCGAUUGUUCAGCCAACUAUCGUGGAUCAUCUUAAAACGCCGUAAAUUUCCAAAUCUUUCAAUCUAUAAAUUUAAAAUGACUAAACGGAUAAAUAUUGAAUGUCAAAGCCUAUUUCCAAACCCCUCUCUCAAUCCAAGCGACUCUUCAACCAUUUUGGCAAUAAAAAUCCAUCUAUAGCUGGCCUGAAUUUUGGGAAAAAACAAAAAACAAUCGCUCAGAACAAUAGACCUCAACCAUUUGCAUUCUACACCCGGCUUUAUGCGUUUCGAAUUUUCGAUUUAUUUUGGCCAAGAGGCAGUGAGUAAAGUGGAAGCACAACAAAUGGCUCAAUACUUCACAUUGAAAUAUGUUAAUUAUCAAAAACUUGCUGUUGAAACACCCCAAUAUGGAUUAAUCUCGGAAAAAAUCUUUGUUCUCGUUUCAACUGCGAAAUCAAAGCAACGAAACUAUCUCGUAAAACUAUUUCAACAGCCGUAAUAAUAGGAAAAACAAAGAGAAAUGACAACAAAACAGCUAAAUGUACGACAUUUAGUGUACAAGAAGCAGGCAAAGGCUAAAAUUACAAUUGAUGGGGUACACUACAUCUAAAAUGGAGUGUGUACGGGUACACUGAGCAAAUGUUUUAUGCUAAAGUGCUUGAUAAGUUGAACUCUCUUGUAUAAUUUCAUACCUCGGUUAUGCUUUUAUAUACACCAAAUAGUAUUGCGUAUUCGUUAAGGAAUCCAUAAUCACUAUCUUUUGUUUUAUUCUUAGCUAAUAUCCGUAUAAAAGUAACAAUACACAACUAUAUUUUUCGUUAGUAUUUGCAUAUCAAAAUUUUGAUUUUCCCCAGUGUUUGGGAAUAACAAACGAAAGAGUGGAGACCACAGAGACAACAAGCGAUUUUCAUAUUUUUGGCGCAACGAAAACGCAGGAAACGGGAAGCAGAGUCCAGAGAUGGAGAUAGAGACAGCAACAGAGGCGGUGAAAGAGACGGCUGCAGAGGCGGAGAACAAAAGGACCAGAAGCCAUUGCCCAUGGCGGAAGAAAGUGGCAGAAUGGUUAGCAACUGGGAGCAGGAGUUGGGGGAUUCAGACGAGUGGAAGUGGAAAAAGCGAACUCUUGUCGCCCGACAACAUUAUUUCGGCUAUUUUGUAUACCCUUGUUGCCCUGGGGCCUUGUCGUUUACAUGCAUCGAUGAACUCUGACCUUAUAUACCAUUCGGCAUGCCUCCUUGCAUUUGAUUCUGUUUAUGUGGCUUACUCUUAAAUAAUUGUCAGUAACUACAAAAAACGGCAUUGCAAAAAAUGUAUGCUAUAGUUUUUAGUGAUUUCUUACAAACUAUAUAUAUAUUUAUUUAUUUAUUAUUAUUACAUGCUUAAGCUAUGCCAACAGCCAAAAGAGUAUUUAAGUCUCUUUCAUUUUUUUCUUCGUUUUUCCAGCUGUCAAACAUUUAGAAUACUUAGUCUCGCAUUAUUUUUCUUUUCUGUAUUUUUAAAACAAGAAAUGGCGCUACCAAAGACAACAGUCAAGAGCAGCUGCGAGCUUUGUGUCGUCCCAUUGACGUUAUAAUCAAAAAUCAUAUGACGUUUUUCGUUGGCAUACCAUACCAUAUAGCAUAUAGCAUAUAACCAAAGACAGCCAAAGUUCUUGAGGCAGAACGAAGGAGGACAGCACAAAGGCACUGGCGUAGCCAAGUCCACAGCCAUCAAUGUAGGUCAGUCCGAAAAUAAAUUCGAGAAGCGAAAUCAAGUAAAUAGACUCGCAUAAACACAAGGGAAAGAAUGGUGAUUACAUCAAGUGAUGAACCGAAAGGAUACCGAAUUUUGUACAUUUCACAUCCAAACACGCUAAUAGGCAAUGUUUUUGGGCAAAAAUACGACCGCCUCUCGAUUUACCACGGACAACAUAGCAGCCACGCCCAUCGGCAACGCCUCCAGGAAACUCCCUACAUUUUCUCGCUCUAUUUUCCUUUCACAACUCACGCAAACUUCCGGCUCAAAACUGACGGCCUCCCAGCGACAAAAAAAGCCGAAAAGCAAAUGCAAUUUUGGUGCAACCGCCACCAGAAGAAUAGCAACAAACACGCCAUCGCUGCCAUCGGACAUUUGGGUCAGGAAUUGUGGGCACUUAAUCAGCACUAAACAGGACCACGCCCACGGGAUCCAAUUCCCGGGAAAUUGGGUCUGGGUCGAGCUUCUGAUGGCGUGCACGCCACAGGACCUACACAGAAAUACAUCCUUGACCUUUUUAAUGCCAGUUUUUUUUCGGGGGGCUGCCAUGUUGUGCUACAGGGUAGCAUUGUCAUGUACAACGUUUUGAGGCACAUUUGCGGGUGGGGGUGGCAGAAACGAAACGAGAAGUGCGGCAAGCCGGAGGAGGGGAACUAUGUUGAAAUGUCAUUAACGCCAGCAGCGAGAUUUCGCAGGUGAGUUGCCAACAAACGUGUCGCCACUGAGGCGUGGGAUCUCUACUCUACACUGCGCAAAAAGUUCCUUCUAAUAUCUACGUAUGUUUGCUUACACCAUAUUUAUAAUUUGAAAUAUCCAAUCCAAUAAAUACAGUUUUAAAAAUGCUACGUGCUAUGUAGCUACAUCCUUGUUGUCUAUUUCUAUAUUGCUGAUUCCAUGAGCUAUUUCCUUAAUUUCCAAUGCAUUUUCCUUGUUUUUGUUUAGUUUUAAUUUCUCUUAGUGUACUUGCUGGUUGCUGCAGCGCUUGACGUGUUGAUUUAGUGGCAUAUUUUGCCAGAAAUGAGGCACAGACAUCAGAAGGCAGAGUCUGAGGCCGCUGAGCCAGCUGAGGCGACAACCAAACGUCGUCUAAAUGUGCGCCAGUUGGCUGCAUUGCCAGCCUUGACCGAUAUUCGUGCGCUAAACACAAACACAAAGGCAUUAAGCAUACACAAACAGGCGAGAACACAUUGGCUAACACACACACACCCCCAGCGGUGUGACGAAAAAGUGGCAUAAAAAUGAAAGAAAAUGGGAAAUUCUUCAUUUGGUUUCAAAAUUUUGUAUUCCCUAUUUGUGCAAAUCGAUAAUAAAAAGAACUUAUUUUGUAUCAUGCUUUCUUUUUUUUGUGUAAGGAAAGUUUUUCGUAUGAAAGCCUUUAGUUUUAUAGAAUCUUCGUAAUGUUUUAUAGAAUCUUAGUAAUGUAAUCAGAUUUGCUCUGUUUCAACUUUUAUUGCAUUAAAUAUCUGCAACGCAGCUGAUUGCUUGUUAAACCGACCGCGUUAUUAUCAGAUUGUGCAAGGUAAUGGUGGUAUUCAAAUUUUAAGCUGCAAGGAAAGCUUCUUUGGACUCUCAGAUCGAACAAAAAAUCGAACAAUAAAAAGUGCCCAUAAAAGCGUCCUGAAAGGAUGUGCAGCAUCCAGGACAAUCGUUCAAGUCUUGCAACUCAGAGGCGACUCUUAACCGAAAAUCUCUCUCGGAAAAUUCUCCAUCGCACACACAUGCAUAUUUAAUGCACUCACUCACAGGCACACUUUCCUCACUCACACAGGGCCAUAAAGCGUUUUAACAAAUGGCAUCAAAUUGAUUUUGCCACGCUAAGCAUUUUAGGAUUUUCAGCGACAGAGGCGCCUGCACUUUCCCACCCAUUUUCCUAAAAAACCGCAAGGCAAUGGCAAAAGUCUGCAGCUUUUUGAUUGUGUGUGUGUGCGAGUUUUGCAUAUUUGCUACACUGUUCAAAAUUGAGGGGAAGGGAAAGGGUAAGUGGAUGUGCAGGGCUCAGGAAAAGUUUUUCCCCCCUCGAAUCGUUGGCCCUUUUUAAAUUAUUUUAUUUAUAUUUUUUUGCUGUGCCAGGAAACCCACAAUAUAACCCAUAUAGCCCAAUACAUAUGUACGUGUUUAUACAACUAUAUCUUACCUAUACAUGUACAUAUAUAUAUAUAUUUAUUUAUGUGUGCUGGUUGGGUUGGCACACAUAUGCGCAUCUUUUUUUGAUGAGCCUGCACGGCAAAGUGGCUGCAUUUUUACCCAGAUUUAAAAUGAUUGCAUAUGAUGGGAAGCCGGAAAGGAGGAGAGGGGUGACAACCCUGGCCGGGAUGUGCUGCCCCUUUUUCCACCCAAUAUGUUGCGCUUUUCGGCGCCACCGCCUUUUCCUGGUCCACUGAAGCAGCCAUUACCAUGAUGCCUCCACUUCUGCAUCCACCACCACCACCUUCAUCACCCAUCGUGUGUUGGCUUCGCAAAUAGUUCUGCAAACUCUGUAGUCCCCCGCUUUUUUGGUGUUAAGCCCCGAAUAGGUUGGCUUCUCCGGAUGGAAUGUAAAUAAAGUAUUUGCGGUCACAGUGAUGGGACAAAAACCAUGACACAUGUACGUAAAUGAACUGCCAAGGUGUUUCCUCAAUCAGCCCGAAAAAAGUUUAUAGGAGCUCUUAAAACGAAGCUGGCAAAAAUUUGAAUAUCCUAUGGACGUAUUCUAAUAAUUCUGUUGAUCAAUUUUGUUGGUUGGAGUAAAAAUCCCAUUUGCAUAAUAUCAAUAUUUCCGCUCUUCUUGUCGUAUUUUCAUGAAAUCAAUUACGUUUUGCAGCUAUUGCAGAAUGCAAAUCGAUUGCAAAUAUUGGACAAUGCCUUCAAGAACUCGGAUAGCAACGCUUCCCUUUCAUAACAACCGUUUGAGAUGCAUUUCGCUCAAUAUCCUUUCAGUUGCCAUCCACAUUACAAAUUCCAUUCGCGCGGUACGCUGUAAUCCCCCUCUGGCCGAUGGGGAAACCCAUUUGGAGAAUCCACAAUAAAUACUUCUAAACGUUUCGGUUGAGAAGCAAAGCGAUUUUGUCCCACCCACGUGACCUCAACCCCCAGCAUUACUUAAUAAUGCGCAUAAAAAUGCAUUCCCAGCAUCAUCGGGUGGUCCAUGUCCAGCAGUACACAGAGGAAAAAAAUCUACCCUUACUGCAAAGGGUUUAAGGUAGGAGCAGUUAUGGGAAACUUUAUGUUUUAACUAAAGGUAGUUAUGGGAAACUUUAUGUUUCAAUUUGGUUUAGUUUGUUAUAGAAUAUAUAUGCUUAUUUCUUAUUAAGCUAUUGUAUAUUUUUGGCAGUGUAUUUACCAAGACAAGGCACUGACAAAUGUGUGUGAUGAGAGAAUGGCAUGGAGGCGAGCAGGAUUCAAUCCAGCUCCUUGAACUUUAUGGCCAGGAUAAAAGCAACAAAAGACAUGGCCCCACAAAGGCAUGUCGAUGGCUGGCUGCACAUCCCUUCCAGCUUUCAUCCGAAUGCAUCCAGACAAACAAACACCCGCAAACGCAAACACACCUCCUCCGUGCAAACAGCUCAUCCGAGCGACAUGCAUUCUCCUUCUUUACCGCUUGACUGACAACGGACGGCGGCAAAGUGCAUUAAGACCUACAUUCGUUACGUAACCGAAUACAGAAGUUCCCAUUGCUAAAGAGUUUUACAAAGAAAUUAUUAUUGUUUGUUAAAUUUAAAGGAUACUAUGCAUGAUAUCAACAGCAGACUUAGACGAAUAAUUUGUAGCAAAAAUAUAUUUUUUAAAAAACAUGAACCUCAUUCCAUGACCCAAUUGAUUCGAAAAACAGAAAUACCCCUUUCCAGAAACACCAUCAGGAUCUACAAGAGAAUUUAUGUGUGGCUAUGUACGUGGGUAACAUUGUGGAUUUCAUUAAACUCGCAAGCAGCAGGUGAAUCAGGAAAAGCGGGGCGGCAAAGAAAGGCGGGAAAUUCAUGAGGGAAAUGGAGGAGUUGGUGGAGCUUGGAGCAGCUACUCAAGUCGACAGCAACUCCCAGCGGCACCUCAAUGAGCUAACAAAGUGCAAAGGCUGCCAGGUGAAAGAUCCUCUGGAGAACUGGAUACUUGCUGGCGAAGGACAGAUGGCAUGGCUCCAGAGUGUGUUUGUUUUCAUGCUUCUUUUGUUUGUUUGGAUGGGUUUUUGCGGAGCGAGAUGAUUGCAAUGUGGAAUGCAAAGUGCUUUCUUUCCACUGCAAUAUUAAACAAAAAUAUUUUCUACUAGUAACAUUUCUCUAGCCCGUAAGUGGGUCAGCCAUUUGCCAACUCCCCCACCCCCCCAUCAACUCAGUAUAUGUGCUCAAAAAUUCAAUUUAUUUGAAGAGCAGCAGGAGCAAGAAAAGAAAGGAGAGGGAGAAACGUCUAAAAAAAACUUUGGCGUUGGCCAAACAAAAUUCACUUUGAGCAAAUCAAAUUAAAAUCAAUUAAAAUUAACAAGCAGGCAGCCGGGAAACCGAAAGCUCCCUUAAUACCCAGCCACCCACACCAGUUUGCCCCACUCACUAAUAGACCACCGCCCAUCGCUUUACACUUGGAGAAGAAACUGGCUGUCUUUUCUAAGCACCUCUUCUAUAGAAAAGUAGUAUUCUUAGGUGUUGAUAUGGCCAAAUUGUUUUCAGUGCACGCCUCCGCAGCGCAGCGCAGCGAAAUACCGAGCGCAUGAAUCAUGCAUUUUUCGCCUUUCGCCAGGGCGCUCUUCUUUCUCACCUCUUGUUUUCUGCAUUUGUUGCUUCGGCGGUUAAGGUGCGGCAAUAAGUAAAUUGAGUCGCCGCACGUCCCCUCAAAAAUUCGUUGAUAAGCGCAGACUUUUAGGCAACUCAGCCCCACCAACAGCACAAAAACAUCGGCGAGUAAAUGACACGGCCAAAAUGGGAAAAGGGUAAGAAAGAGACUGGUUGUAUGUACAUUAUGUAUGAGCGAGUCCAGAUGAGCUGCUCGAUUGUUUGCAAAUAUUUACACCACCUUAUCGGCACGUACAAAUGUUCACACAUAUUCACCGAAAGUCAAUUCCGUGCACUGAAAAAAGCAUCCCAAGACUUUCCCCAUCUAAAGAUCUGAAAGCAUUGGGGAUACUUUUUACCAUCAUCAUAACUAUUUUCGGGGCGUUCUUUGAAUUGAAAGAGGACGUAGCCUGUUUAACUAAGGUUUUAGAGACUCAUGCCCUAUAAGAUAUCACCUAUCUUAUCAUACAUGCUUAUGAUAACAGAGGUUCCAAGCUACGAAUGUUGGAAAAGAAAAAUGUUUGGAAUUUCGUAUGAUAAAUACCUAACAUUUUUGAAUAAUAGUUCGUUUAUAAGUACUGGCUAUUGCAAAGUGAUAUAUAAAAUCAUAAUAUAAUAUUUUUCAAAUUUCUGAAAUAUUGUUUUACAGUGCAGCUGCUUUCCGAUCGACCGUAGGCUUUCUGCGUUUUGCCGAGGAGAAUGGAAUGAGCGGAGCAGAGCGCUUGGUGAGUUGAGCUGAGUUGAGUCACCGGGGCGCUUUUAACGGGCCCACUCACCUGGCGCGGCCCACUCACACUCACACACUCGAAAUAAAGGUGUUGAUCAGAGCAGCGCCAACUGAUAGUUGGAUGCUCGUAGAUAAAGUGAAGAUAAAAUGAGCGAUUAAUUGGGAACGUGCUGCGGACUGGCGACUGGCGCCACCUAGCGGUGCAACUGAGGCGUAACCGAGUUGUCUAGCCAAAAUAACUAGCAAGAAAUUAAAUGCCGCUCGACACACUCAAUUUUCCCUAGCACAUCAACACACACACACUUUCCCCUUGUCCCACUUCGCCCACACUUUUGGCCCACAAUGGCAAGGCAAGUAGAAAAUUGUGUUAGAAACAUUUCUAGUUUUUCAUUUUGUGUGUGCGGUGCAGAUCUUGGCUUGUUUUCUCAAUUUUAUUGGCACAAGGUUAGAAAAGAAAACCAAAAAAAGAAGCACAGGCAGAAGACCUAGACAAACAUGGGGCGAUGAAGAAGCGGCAGGCAAGAUGAUGAGGCACAAAUGGCAAAGUUUAUUAUGCCAUGGCUCAUUGUUGUGGUGUAGUAUCUAGUAUGUGGCCCGAACUGAAGACCCAAAGUGCAAUGAAACGAAUACGAAUGCAAAUACAGUAGAAAUUCUCAGAAAGACAUACUCACACGCGCACACACAUGUAGGAGUUGUCCCCAAAUGAAUUUGGUGAAAAAUUUCAAAUUGAAUGAAGUGGCUGGCUGGCAGGUAAAACGUUUCUUUUAUGCAAUUUUAAUUGAAACUGAGCAAGAGUCUUUGGCCACAACUUUGUAAAUUGGGGUACGAUAAGAUCGAAUCUGUUGCCUUAUCGAAAUGCAUCCGAUUUUAUAUUUUCAUCUCAAUCAAAAAAAAUAUUAAUAUUUAAUAAUAAAUAUUAUUAAAUAUAUAUAAAGUAUAAUCAUGAGUUAAUUUAGAGGUACAUAUUAUAGCUCUACAAAGAUUUUUGAGCCGAAACCAAGGAGACUUCCAUUAUGAAAUGCUGACGAGUUAGUUUGCCCUCAGAAAAUAAGUUUUGAAUUGGGCAGUGAAUUGUAUAGAAAUGUAAUGCCUGAAAAUAUAGUUAUACAUUUAAAUCGCUGACUAGAAAGCUGAAAAUCUCAAGCGCGCGGCGAACGCACACGUGCACAAAGCUUUAGACCGAAAGAGCAAAAGAGAGGGGUAGCAAGAAAAGAAAGAGAGCGCGGCUAGACGCGCUCAGCUGAGCACAUGACGCUUUUAAAGCGCGACUUGAGGCGUGGGCGACUUUGACAGCUGCUGCUCACGUCAUAGUUGCCUCUACAGACGCUCACACACACAAACACACAGGCGCGUUUGGAUGGCAGAACUACACGGUGCAGAUGCUGUGUUCGGCAUCAGUGUUGGUGACCAUACAAUUUUUUGUGUGGUCCGCCUCUUUGUGUGGGUGGCGCUUACAAGGCUGUUUGCUGCACAUUCACAAAGGCCCGAAAGCAGCGGCCAAAGCAGAAGGCAGCUGUUGCUUUUGUUUGGCAGCCCAACAAAAUGUUUUUUAGAAAACCGCUGCCACUGCCGCUGCUCACGCCCCCACCACCACCGCCACGCCCCCUCCGAACCGCCCACGCACAGUGGGAACAACCUUGCGAAGGGCAAACAAUUACAAGAGAGCAUAAAGCAGAAAUGGAAACUACAGAGGCGCAUCCACGGAGGUGACUUCUGGGAAAUUUCACACUAAGAGGUCUGAAACCAAUUAAAAGGGAGUUCAAAAGUAUGCUACAUUUAUUCGCUGUAGCCUGACAGUUGCAUUACUGUGGGUAAUUCUUAAAAACUUAUUCUUUAUGUGCAGUUUACUAUAUUAUAUUGUAUGUAUGUAUACUCUUAAGUAAGAUGUAACUCGAAAUCUUUGAAUGGCUUUCCUAUACUGAAGUACUACUGUACUAAUGCGCUUUGCAGUGAAAUGCAAAAAUGUCGACACAGCAACGCCCGCAACUGACAA